UUUUCCCUGCGCUGUUGGUGAUUUGUAUUAUCGUUGAGCCAACUCUCCAAAAAAGGGAGCUACCACUUUCCUCUGAUGGGAAAUCCACCGAUUUCCCUGACGCUGAUAUGCGGUUCCCACCUAUUUCGAUAGGUUUAACUCGUUCUACAAACACGGCAGGGUGGGGAAAAU
RNAcentral lists this non-coding RNA (171 nucleotides) under Deltaproteobacteria bacterium. RNAcentral describes it as "6S RNA". It matches the Rfam family "6S / SsrS RNA". Rfam says of the family: E. coli 6S RNA was the first non coding RNA to be sequenced, but its function was unknown until recently. It consists of 184 nucleotides that fold into an extended hairpin structure with a large single-stranded internal bulge. Lineage: Bacteria; Pseudomonadati; Myxococcota; Myxococcia. The record is from RNAcentral. RNAcentral also lists the same sequence under 1 other name.